GCUCGGCUGGUCUAGUGGUAUGAUUCUCGCUUAGGGUUCACCCUGAGCUUGUUUGCGAGAGGUCCCCGGUUCAAACCCGGGGUCGAGCC
Molecule: transfer RNA, 89 nt
Filed under: Tuber melanosporum Mel28
Lineage: Eukaryota; Fungi; Ascomycota; Pezizomycetes; Pezizales; Tuberaceae
Description: tRNA-Pro for anticodon AGG
Source: RNAcentral